AUGAACGCUGGCGGCGUGCCUAAUACAUGCAAGUCGAGCGAACAGACGAGGAGCUUGCUCCUCUGACGUUAGCGGCGGACGGGUGAGUAACACGUGGAUAACCUACCUAUAAGACUGGGAUAACUUCGGGAAACCGGAGCUAAUACCGGAUAAUAUAUUGAACCGCAUGGUUCAAUAGUGAAAGACGGUUUUGCUGUAACUUAUAGAUGGAUCCGCGCCGCAUUAGCUAGUUGGUAAGGUAACGGCUUACCAAGGCGACGAUGCGUAGCCGACCUGAGAGGGGGAUCGGCCACACUGGAACUGAGACACGGUCCAGACUCCUACGGGAGGCAGCAGUAGGGAAUCUUCCGCAAUGGGCGAAAGCCUGACGGAGCAACGCCGCGUGAGUGAUGAAGGUCUUCGGAUCGUAAAACUCUGUUAUUAGGGAAGAACAAAUGUGUAAGUAACUAUGCACGUCUUGACGGUACCUAAUCAGAAAGCCACGGCUAACUACGUG
RNAcentral lists this ribosomal RNA (496 nucleotides) under uncultured bacterium. Its description in RNAcentral is "partial 16S ribosomal RNA". It matches the Rfam family "Bacterial small subunit ribosomal RNA", at positions 29 to 507 of the family's 1533-position model. The record is from RNAcentral.